Rufibacter sp. DG15C is the source of this 373-nucleotide non-coding RNA. It matches the Rfam family "transfer-messenger RNA". Rfam says of the family: Bacterial tmRNA, also known as 10Sa RNA or SsrA, is named for its dual tRNA and mRNA-like properties. NCBI's taxonomy places the organism in Bacteria, Pseudomonadati, Bacteroidota, Cytophagia, Cytophagales, Hymenobacteraceae. The record is from Rfam.
GGGGAUGACCGGAAUUGACAGCUUGAGCAAGCUGGGUGUAAGCAUGUCGGGAGUUGGCUGUUUUCCCGUAAAUCAGAAUUGACCGACUAUUAUCUGGCGAGUCUAACUACGCCAUGGCUGCCUAGUCUAGGUACUAAGCAUUUUGCCAUUGUCCUGCAGCUCCUCGGUUCGGUGGGGGUUGGUCACAGGGCAUCGUAAUGCCGAUCUAGUGUACUCCAAGGUGUGGGGAGUGCAUGAAACUAAAGCACCUAAGGUGAUUUCAUAGGCCAGGCUUGGGCCUGAACUCACACGAAAACCAAUCCAAGACUAAACAUGUAGAAAGCGCUCAAGUUUCCUUGUCUGGACCAGGGUUCGACUCCCUGCAUCUCCACCA